CGGGUGAGUAACACGUGGAUAACCUACCUAUAAGACUGGGAUAACUUCGGGAAACCGGAGCUAAUACCGGAUAAUAUUUUGAACCGCAUGGUUCAAAAGUGAAAGACGGUCUUGCUGUCACUUAUAGAUGGAUCCGCGCUGCAUUAGCUAGUUGGUAAGGUAACGGCUUACCAAGGCAACGAUGCAUAGCCGACCUGAGAGGGUGAUCGGCUACACUGGAACUGAGACACGGUCCAG
RNAcentral lists this ribosomal RNA (237 nucleotides) under uncultured Staphylococcus sp. RNAcentral's name for it is "partial 16S ribosomal RNA". It matches the Rfam family "Bacterial small subunit ribosomal RNA", at positions 103 to 334 of the family's 1533-position model. The record is from RNAcentral. Lineage: Bacteria; Bacillati; Bacillota; Bacilli; Caryophanales; Staphylococcaceae.